AGUCGAGCGGCAGCAUGGACUUCGGUCUGAUGGCGAGCGGCGAACGGGUGAGUAACAUAUAGGAACAUACCCAGUAAUGGGGGAUAACUCCGAGAAAUCGGAGCUAAUACCGCAUACGCCCUGAGGGGGAAAGCGGGGGAUCUUCGGACCUCGCGUUAUUGGAAUGGCCUAUAUCUGAUUAGCUUGUUGGUGAGGUAAAGGCUCACCAAGGCUUCGAUCAGUAGCUGGUCUGAGAGGAUGAUCAGCCACACUGGAACUGAGACACGGUCCAGACUCCUACGGGAGGCAGCAGUGGGGAAUUUUGGACAAUGGGCGAAAGCCUGAUCCAGCCAUUCCGCGUGAGUGAAGAAGGCCUUCGGGUUGUAAAGCUCUUUCGGCAGGAAAGAAAUUGCCGUUUCUAAUACAAACGGUAGAUGACGGUACCUGAAGAAGAAGCACCGGCUAACUACGUGCCAGCAGCCGCGGUAAUACGUAGGGUGCGAGCGUUAAUCGGAAUUACUGGGCGUAAAGCGUGCGCAGGCGGUUUUGCAAGUCAGAUGUGAAAGCCCCGGGCUCAACCUGGGAAUGGCGUUUGAAACUGCAAGGCUAGAGUGUGUCAGAGGGGGGUAGAAUUCCACGUGUAGCAGUGAAAUGCGUAGAGAUGUGGAGGAAUACCGAUGGCGAAGGCAGCCCCCUGGGAUAACACUGACGCUCAUGCACGAAAGCGUGGGGAGCAACAGGAUUAGAUACCCUGGUAGUCCACGCCCUAACGAUGUCAACUAGUUGUCGGGAGGGUAACCCUCUUGUAACGCAGCUAACGCGUGAAGUUGACCGCCUGGGGAGUACGGUCGCAGAUUAAACUCAAAGGAUUGACGGGGC
This 858-nucleotide ribosomal RNA is filed under the name uncultured bacterium. Its description in RNAcentral is "bacterial SSU rRNA". It matches the Rfam family "Bacterial small subunit ribosomal RNA", at positions 60 to 919 of the family's 1533-position model. The record is from RNAcentral.